This 253-nucleotide ribosomal RNA is filed under the name uncultured bacterium. Its description in RNAcentral is "partial 16S ribosomal RNA". It matches the Rfam family "Bacterial small subunit ribosomal RNA", at positions 524 to 776 of the family's 1533-position model. The record is from RNAcentral.
UACGUAGGGUGCAAGCGUUAAUCGGAAUUACUGGGCGUAAAGCGUGCGUAGGCGGUGAUGUAAGACAGGUGUGAAAUCCCCGGGCUUAACCUGGGAACUGCAUUUGUGACUGCAUCGCUGGAGUGCGGCAGAGGGGGAUGGAAUUCCGCGUGUAGCAGUGAAAUGCGUAGAUAUGCGGAGGAACACCGAUGGCGAAGGCGGCGACCUGGGUAGAUACUGACGCUGAGGUGCGAAAGCGUGGGGAGCAAACAGG